GUUACUUCGGUACAUCGGUGACAGGUGGUGCAUGGUUGUCGUCAGCUCGUGCCGUGAGAUGUUGGGUUAAGUCCCGCAACGAGCGCAACCCUUAUCUUUAAUUGCCAGCAUUCAGUUGGGCACUUUAAAGAGACUGCCGGUGUUAAACCGGAGGAAGGUGGGAUGACGUCAAGUCCUCAUGGCCUUUAUGCUUAGGGCUACACACGUGCUACAAUGGGUGGUACAAAGAGAAGCCAACUCGCGAGAGCGCGCCAAUCUCAAAAAGCCAUCCUCAGUUCGGAUUGGAGUCUGCAACUCGACUCCAUGAAGUUGGAAUCGCUAGUAAUCGCGGAUCAGCAUGCCGCGGUCGAAUACGUUCCCGGGCCUU
This 367-nucleotide ribosomal RNA is filed under the name uncultured Smithella sp. Its description in RNAcentral is "bacterial SSU rRNA". It matches the Rfam family "Bacterial small subunit ribosomal RNA", at positions 1014 to 1382 of the family's 1533-position model. Lineage: Bacteria; Pseudomonadati; Thermodesulfobacteriota; Syntrophia; Syntrophales; Smithellaceae. The record is from RNAcentral.